GGGUGAUCUGCCCUGCACUCUGGGAUAAGCCUGGGAAACUGGGUCUAAUACCGGAUAUGACCUUGGACUGCAUGGUUCUUGGUGGAAAGGUUUACUGGUGCAGGAUGGGCCCGCGGCCUAUCAGCUUGUUGGUGGGGUAAUGGCCUACCAAGGCGACGACGGGUAGCCGGCCUGAGAGGGCGACCGGCCACACUGGGACUGAGACACGGCCCAGACUCCUACGGGAGGCAGCAGUGGGGAAUAUUGCACAAUGGGCGAAAGCCUGAUGCAGCGACGCCGCGUGAGGGAUGAAGGCCUUCGGGUUGUAAACCUCUUUCAGCAGGGACGAAGCGAGAGUGACGGUACCUGCAGAAGAAGCACCGGCUAACUACGUGCCAGCAGCCGCGGUAAUACGUAGGGUGCGAGCGUUGUCCGGAAUUACUGGGCGUAAAGAGUUCGUAGGCGGUUUGUCACGUCGUUUGUGAAAACUCACAGCUCAACUGUGAGCCUGCAGGCGAUACGGGCAGACUUGAGUACUGCAGGGGAGACUGGAAUUCCUGGUGUAGCGGUGAAAUGCGCAGAUAUCAGGAGGAACACCGGUGGCGAAGGCGGGUCUCUGGGCAGUAACUGACGCUGAGGAACGAAAGCGUGGGUAGCAAACAGGAUUAGAUACCCUGGUAGUCCACGCCGUAAACGGUGGGCGCUAGGUGUGGGUUCCUUCCACGGGAUCUGUGCCGUAGCUAACGCAUUAAGCGCCCCGCC
This 741-nucleotide ribosomal RNA is filed under the name Rhodococcus sp. (in: high G+C Gram-positive bacteria). RNAcentral's name for it is "bacterial SSU rRNA". It matches the Rfam family "Bacterial small subunit ribosomal RNA", at positions 119 to 873 of the family's 1533-position model. Lineage: Bacteria; Bacillati; Actinomycetota; Actinomycetes; Mycobacteriales; Nocardiaceae. The record is from RNAcentral.